AUCGCUUCGUGGCCUUUGGCUAAAAUCGAGAGUUGUAUUUGUUCUUAUCAAUUUAAUAUCUGAUACGUCCUCUAUCCAAGGACAAUAUAUGAAAUGGAUUUGGGGGACUAGGAAAUGGAAUAGCAGCUUGCUUCGUGCAUUCCAUGAAUCCACCUGGUAUUGUAGUACCUCCAAGAUGGUGCACCUAUU
This is a small nuclear RNA of Sorex fumeus (smoky shrew), 189 nucleotides long. RefSeq annotates it as U2 spliceosomal RNA. The transcript has a single exon. Lineage: Eukaryota; Metazoa; Chordata; Mammalia; Eulipotyphla; Soricidae. The record is from RefSeq and is a predicted model, not a curated record.